GAUGAAGAACGCAGCGAAAUGCGAUAAGUAGUGUGAAUUGCAGAAUUCAGUGAAUCAUCGAAUCUUUGAACGCACAUUGCGCCCCUCGGUAUUCCGUGGGGCAUGCCUGUUCGAGCGUCAUCUACACCCUCAAGCCCUGCUUGGUGUUGGGUGCCUGUCCCGCCCCGCGCGGCGACUCACCCCAAAUGCAUUGGCGGCGGCGCCUUGUCCCUCCCGCGCAGCACAUUGCGCUUCUCGAGGCGGCGGGACCGCGUCCACGAAGCCGACAACCCGUCUUUGACCUCGGAUCAGGUAGGGAUACCCGCUGAACUUAAGCAUAUCAAUAAGCGGAGGA
RNAcentral lists this unclassified non-coding RNA (334 nucleotides) under soil metagenome. RNAcentral's name for it is "partial contains 5.8S ribosomal RNA, internal transcribed spacer 2, and large subunit ribosomal RNA". The stretch from base 1 to 120 matches the Rfam family "5.8S ribosomal RNA", at positions 35 to 154 of the family's 154-position model. The record is from RNAcentral.